AGGCUUGAUGACGUAUGCUGCCUGCAUAUUCGACCUUCGGAGGAUGCAGCCUUCCGUUUGAGAAACGGCCUACAAGUGUGAGCGUGCGCGAGAUUCUGUCCGAAUUGAUUCUUCCCACAUUUUAAGCCUUUAAACAUCUAAACAUGUCCUCCAAAAAGGAAAAAGGGAAAAACAUUGGAAAACAAUUUCAGCCUAAGGUUUCCUGUGCUGUUUUGCUCCAUUUUACAGAACAAAAUAAGUGCUGAGGUAGCACCAUCCUUGUGGUUAUAGUGAAAGAAUGUGGGUAUUGAGACCAAAAUAAACAAUGUACCAUUCUGGACAAACAGCUGUGGACAAUAUGCAGUCAGAGUAGCCUAUUUUCUCACACAGGUAAAGUAUGCAAAGUAAUACCAAACUUCUUUUUAA
Non-coding RNA from Misgurnus anguillicaudatus (oriental weatherfish), 405 nucleotides. The record is from RefSeq and is a predicted model, not a curated record. Lineage: Eukaryota; Metazoa; Chordata; Actinopteri; Cypriniformes; Cobitidae.